Molecule: ribosomal RNA, 465 nt
Filed under: Vreelandella stevensii
Lineage: Bacteria; Pseudomonadati; Pseudomonadota; Gammaproteobacteria; Oceanospirillales; Halomonadaceae
Description: partial 16S ribosomal RNA
Rfam family: Bacterial small subunit ribosomal RNA
Source: RNAcentral
CCUACGGGUGGCAGCAGUGGGGAAUAUUGGACAAUGGGCGAAAGCCUGAUCCAGCCAUGCCGCGUGUGUGAAGAAGGCCUUCGGGUUGUAAAGCACUUUCAGUGGGGAAGAAAGCCUUGGGGCGAAUACCCUCGAGGAAGGACAUCACCCACAGAAGAAGCACCGGCUAACUCCGUGCCAGCAGCCGCGGUAAUACGGAGGGUGCGAGCGUUAAUCGGAAUUACUGGGCGUAAAGCGCGCGUAGGCGGUCUGAUAAGCCGGUUGUGAAAGCCCCGGGCUCAACCUGGGAACGGCAUCCGGAACUGUCAGGCUAGAGUGCAGGAGAGGAAGGUAGAAUUCCCGGUGUAGCGGUGAAAUGCGUAGAGAUCGGGAGGAAUACCAGUGGCGAAGGCGGUCUUCUGGACUGACACUGACGCUGAGGUGCGAAAGCGUGGGUAGCAAACAGGAUUAGAUACCCGAGUAGUC